This 522-nucleotide ribosomal RNA is filed under the name uncultured Glomeromycotina. Its description in RNAcentral is "SSU rRNA". It matches the Rfam family "Eukaryotic small subunit ribosomal RNA", at positions 569 to 1092 of the family's 1831-position model. The record is from RNAcentral. Lineage: Eukaryota; Fungi; Glomeromycota.
AGCAGCCGCGGUAAUUCCAGCUCCAAUAGCGUAUAUUAAAGUUGUUGCAGUUAAAAAGCUCGUAGUUGAAUUUCGGGGUUGGUAGGUUGGUCAUGCCUCUGGUAUGUACUGGUCUCACUGAUUCCUCCUUCCUGAUGAACCUUAAUGCCAUUAAUUUGGUGUUUUGGGGAAUUUGGACUGUUACUUUGAAAAAAUUAGAGUGUUUAAAGCAAGCUAACGCUUGAAUACAUUAGCAUGGAAUAAUGAAAUAGGACGUUCGAUCCUAUUUUGUUGGUUUCUAGGAUUGACGUAAUGAUUAAUAGGGAUAGUUGGGGGCAUUAGUAUUCAAUUGUCAGAGGUGAAAUUCUUGGAUUUAUUGAAGACUAACUACUGCGAAAGCAUUUGCCAAGGAUGUUUUCAUUAAUCAAGAACGAAAGUUAGGGGAUCGAAGACGAUCAGAUACCGUCGUAGUCUUAACCAUAAACUAUGCCGACUAGGGAUCGGAUGAUGUUAAUUUUUUAAUGACUCAUUCGGCGCCUUACG